UACGUAGGGUGCAAGCGUUAAUCGGAAUUACUGGGCGUAAAGCGUGCGCAGGCGGUUUUGUAAGUCUGUCGUGAAAUCCCCGGGCUCAACCUGGGAAUUGCGAUGGAGACUGCAAGGCUAGAAUCUGGCAGAGGGGGGUAGAAUUCCACGUGUAGCAGUGAAAUGCGUAGAGAUGUGGAGGAACACCGAUGGCGAAGGCAGCCCCCUGGGUCAAGAUUGACGCUACAUGG
RNAcentral lists this ribosomal RNA (230 nucleotides) under uncultured bacterium. Its description in RNAcentral is "partial 16S ribosomal RNA". It matches the Rfam family "Bacterial small subunit ribosomal RNA", at positions 524 to 751 of the family's 1533-position model. The record is from RNAcentral.